RNAcentral lists this ribosomal RNA (485 nucleotides) under uncultured bacterium. RNAcentral describes it as "partial 16S ribosomal RNA". It matches the Rfam family "Bacterial small subunit ribosomal RNA", at positions 30 to 507 of the family's 1533-position model. The record is from RNAcentral.
AUUGAACGCUGGCGGCAUGCCUUACACAUGCAAGUCGAACGGCAGCACGGGUGCUUGCACCUGGUGGCGAGUGGCGAACGGGUGAGUAAUACAUCGGAACGUACCUUAUCGUGGGGGAUAACGCAGCGAAAGUUGCGCUAAUACCGCAUACGCCCUGAGGGGGAAAGCGGGGGACCGUAAGGCCUCGCGCGAUUAGAGCGGCCGAUGUCUGAUUAGCUUGUUGGUGAGGUAAAAGCUCACCAAGGCGAUGAUCAGUAGCUGGUCUGAGAGGACGAUCAGCCACACUGGGACUGAGACACGGCCCAGACUCCUACGGGAGGCAGCAGUGGGGAAUUUUGGACAAUGGGGGCAACCCUGAUCCAGCAAUGCCGCGUGAGUGAAGAAGGCCUUCGGGUUGUAAAGCUCUUUUGUCAGGGAAGAAACAGCAGCUCUAACACAGUCUGCGAAUGACGGUACCUGAAGAGUAAGCACCGGCUAACUACGUG